Methylocaldum sp. is the source of this 113-nucleotide ribosomal RNA. NCBI's taxonomy places the organism in Bacteria, Pseudomonadati, Pseudomonadota, Gammaproteobacteria, Methylococcales, Methylococcaceae. The record is from Rfam.
CCUGGUGGCCAUAGCGAGCGGGAACCACCCGAUCCCAUCCCGACCUCGGAAGUGAAACCGCUUAGCGCCGAUGAUAGUGUGGUUACCCAUGUGAAAGUAGGGAACCGCCAGGC